GAAUAUUGCGCAAUGGGCGGAAGCCUGACGCAGCGACGCCGCGUGGGGGAUGACGGCCUUCGGGUUGUAAACCUCUUUCAGCAGGGACGAAGCGGAAGUGACGGUACCUGCAGAAGAAGCACCGGCCAACUACGUGCCAGCAGCCGCGGUAAUACGUAGGGUGCAAGCGUUGUCCGGAAUUAUUGGGCGUAAAGAGCUCGUAGGCGGUUCGUCGCGUCGGCUGUGAAAACCUGAGGCUCAACCUCAGGCCUGCAGUCGAUACGGGCGGACUUGAGUGUUGCAGGGGAGACUGGAAUUCCUGGUGUAGCGGUGAAAUGCGCAGAUAUCAGGAGGAACACCGGUGGCGAAGGCGGGUCUCUGGGCAACUACUGACGCUGAGGAGCGAAAGCGUGGGGAGCGAACAGG
RNAcentral lists this ribosomal RNA (405 nucleotides) under uncultured bacterium. RNAcentral's name for it is "bacterial SSU rRNA". It matches the Rfam family "Bacterial small subunit ribosomal RNA", at positions 359 to 776 of the family's 1533-position model. The record is from RNAcentral.